UUUAAGAAAGCUAGAAAGCAACCGACUUUUAAUCGGUUUAUGGUGUUUUUUACACCUCUUG
This 61-nucleotide transfer RNA is filed under the name Euciroa cf. queenslandica STW-2017. RNAcentral's name for it is "tRNA-Lys". The record is from RNAcentral. Lineage: Eukaryota; Metazoa; Mollusca; Bivalvia; Euciroidae.